This 638-nucleotide long non-coding RNA is filed under the name Apteryx owenii (little spotted kiwi). Its description in RNAcentral is "lncRNA (ENSAOWG00000001684.1)". Lineage: Eukaryota; Metazoa; Chordata; Aves; Apterygiformes; Apterygidae. The record is from RNAcentral.
GGUGUCACCUGCCUUUUGGGGAACCCUCCGGCUUUUGGGGGACCCCCAUGAGGUGUCACCUGCCUUUCGGGGGACCCUCUGGCUUUUGGGGGACCCCCCGUGAGGUGUCACCUGCCUUUUGGGGGACCCUCCUGGCUUUUGGGGGACCCCCAAGACUUUGGGACACCCCCAAGCUUUGGGGGACCCCCCCCAGCUUUCCAGCAAGAACCAGCUCUUGGGUGAACCCCCAAAGCCCCCCCUUUGCUUUCGGGGGCCCCCCCCAAAAUUUGGGGGGUGACCUCCAGCUUUCCAGUGCCCCCAGCACUUGGGGGUCACCCCCAAAAUUAUGGGGGAACCCCCCAAUUCUCCCCUUCUUUGGGGGGGGCCCCUCCCUUUCCCCAGGCUGCCAAAUUUGGGGGGGCUCCCCGGAACCCCCCCAAUUUUUUAAUCCCUUCUCACCUUUUUUAUGUGUUUUUAAAGUCAAAAGCUUUUUUUGGGGGGGGGCCCCCCAAAUUUGGGGGUGGGGGAAGGACUAGGCGAAGGUGCAGGCAGAUUUGGGGGGGCCCCUGGCCGGGGCCGACUGUCACUUUAAGGGGGGUCAGUGCAAUGGGGAGGCACCCCGAUAUUUUAAGGGGGGGCCCCCUCGGUUUGGGGGUGCC